RNAcentral lists this unclassified non-coding RNA (444 nucleotides) under uncultured fungus. RNAcentral describes it as "partial contains small subunit ribosomal RNA, internal transcribed spacer 1, and 5.8S ribosomal RNA". The stretch from base 1 to 73 matches the Rfam family "Eukaryotic small subunit ribosomal RNA", at positions 1759 to 1831 of the family's 1831-position model. Lineage: Eukaryota; Fungi. The record is from RNAcentral.
GCAAACUUGGUCAUUUAGAGGAAGUAAAAGUCGUAACAAGGUUUCCGUAGGUGAACCUGCGGAAGGAUCAUCACUGAUUCUCGGGGGAGGAGUGUGUGUGUGUGUGUUCCCGCGCUGCUGCACGCACGCUUGUGUGUGUUGGUAGCGGGGUGAGCACGCGCGCGCGCACGCACACCCCAACCAAUCUUUUGUGCACGGUUUCAUGGUCAACGAGGCGCCGCGCGUGUGUUGGCGAGUAGUGUCGUGUGUGUGUGUGUGUUGUGUCCCCCAGUGCGGUGGGGCGCACUCGCGCGCGCGCGCACGCUUGCCAACCGCAUGCGUCCGUGCGUUCUCUGCUUGCAAUCUCUUGUGUAAUCUCUUUGUCUAACGUGCAUCAUUUUACCAAACACAUGUACAACUUUCAACAAUGGAUCUCUUGGCUCUCGCAUCGAUGAAGAACGCAGC